AGUCGCGGUGACAACCAGGAGGUUGGCUUAGAAGCAGCCAUCCUUGAAAGAGUGCGUAAUAGCUCACUGGUCAAGUGGUUCUGCGCCGACAAUGUAGCGGGGCUCAAGCGUACCGCCGAAGCUGUGGCAGCAACACGUGUGGCUGGCGCCAGUUUAUUGGUUGUUGGUGUGUUGUUGGGUAGGGGAGCGUCCUGCAUGAGGUGAAGCCUGGAGGUGACUUCUGGUGGAUUGUGUGGGAGUGAGAAUGCAGGCAUGAGUAACGAAUCUGCGGUGAGAAUCCGCAGCGCCGAUUGACUAAGGGUUCCAGGGCUAGGUUUAUCCGCCCUGGGUUAGUCGGGUCCUAAGGCGAGGCCGACAGGCGUAGUCGAUGGACAACCAGUUGAUAUUCUGGUACCAGGUUGUGACCGCCCAUGCUGAGGUCAUUGUGCUAACCAAUCUGCCCGCCGCGCUCUGGUCCUUCGGGAUUGGGGUUGUGUGUGGGUCUUGGGGUCCCGGUGAUGGUAGGCAAGCGUGUUAACAGGGGUGACGCAGACAGGUAACUGCAGUGCGCCGAUGGUUGUGCGUAUUUAAGGUUGUGGCCCGCCCUUCAGGUAAAUCCGGGGGGCACUAGGGGUGAGGACUGAUGAGGGACACACGCGUGUGUGGACUUGUGGUGAUCCUAUGCUGCCGAGAAAAGCCUCGACGUGAGGGCAUGACGCGCCCGUACCCUAAACCGACUCAGGUGGUCAGGUAGAGUAUACCGAGGCGUUCGAGUGAAUCGUGGUUAAGGAACUCGGCAAAAUUCCUCCGUAACUUCGGGAUAAGGAGGACCCCGUGACUUGCUCCCGCCGUGCGUGGGUGUUGGGUUGUGGGGUCGCAGAGAAUAGGGAGAAGCGACUGUUUAUCAAAAACACAGGUGCGUGCGAAGCCGUAAGGCGAUGUAUACGCACUGACGCCUGCCCGGUGCUGGAAGGUUAAGAGGAACCGUUAACAUUCUUUGUGGGUGUGAAGCGGUGAAUUUAAGCCCCAGUAAACGGCGGUGGUAACUAUAACCAUCCUAAGGUAGCGAAAUUCCUUGUCGGGUAAGUUCCGACCUGCACGAAUGGCGUAACGACUUCUCCGCUGUCUCAACCGCGAACUCGGUGAAAUUGCAGUACGAGUAAAGAUGCUCGUUUCGCGCAGAAGGACGGAAAGACCCCGGGACCUUUACUAUAGCUUGGUAUUGGUGUUCGCUUGGACUUGUGUAGGAUAGGUGGGAGACUGUGAAGCUGCCGCGCCAGCGGUGGUGGAGUCGUCGUUGAAAUACCAUUCUGGUUUAAGCGGUCACCUUAACCUUGGCCCGUGAUCCGGGUUGGGGACAGUGCCUGGUGGGUAGUUUAACUGGGGCGGUUGCCUCCUAAAAUGUAACGGAGGCGCUCAAAGGUUCCCUCAGCCUGGUUGGUAAUCAGGUGGCGAGUGCAAGUGUACAAGGGAGCUUGACUGUGAGACCGACGGGUCGAGCAGGUGCGAAAGCAGGAACUAGUGAUCCGGCCAUGGCACGUGGGUGCGUGGUCGCUCAACGGAUAAAAGGUACCCCGGGGAUAACAGGCUGAUCUUGCCCAAGAGUCCAUAUCGACGGCAUGGUUUGGCACCUCGAUGUCGGCUCGUCGCAUCCUGGGGCUGGAGUAGGUCCCAAGGGUUGGGCUGUUCGCCCAUUAAAGCGGUACGCGAGCUGGGUUCAGAACGUCGUGAGACAGUUCGGUCCCUAUCCUCUGUGCGCGCAGGAAAUUUGAGGAGGGCCGUCCCUAGUACGAGAGGACCGGGAUGGACGAACCUCUGGUGUGCCAGUUGUACCGCCAGGUGCAUGGCUGGUUAGCUACGUUCGGAAGGGAUAACCGCUGAAAGCAUCUAAGCGGGAAGCCUGCUCCAAGAUGAGGUUUCCACGCCCCCCCCGUGGGGUGAGAGGCCCCCGCCAGACGAGCGGGUUGAUAGGCCAGAGGUGGAAGCACCGCGAGGUGCUCGCGAGCCGACUGGUACUAAUGGGCCAACACUAAACAAC
RNAcentral lists this ribosomal RNA (2017 nucleotides) under human gut metagenome. RNAcentral's name for it is "bacterial LSU rRNA". It matches the Rfam family "Bacterial large subunit ribosomal RNA", at positions 1079 to 2925 of the family's 2925-position model. The record is from RNAcentral.